UAUAUAUAUAUAUAUAUAUAUAUAUAUAUAUAGUCCGGCCGGGAUACUAUCGAUAGCAUCAAGGAUUUCAUGCUAUCGACUUUUUUACUGUUAGAUUUAACCCUUUGAUUAUUUUUACCCGUUAGAUUAUACUAUUCAACCAACCACUCACUCAACCCUAGGAGGCCACAUCAUUCUAAUCACACAUUUCUCAAUCCAAGAGCUAAAAAACUAAUAGCACCAAUAGCUUGGUGCUAUUGAUAGUAUUCCAACCUAGUUCAAUAUAUAUAUAGUGAAAAAUAUGUC
RNAcentral lists this long non-coding RNA (285 nucleotides) under Ananas comosus (pineapple). Its description in RNAcentral is "long non-coding RNA (ACOM_LNC013214)". The record is from RNAcentral. Lineage: Eukaryota; Viridiplantae; Streptophyta; Magnoliopsida; Poales; Bromeliaceae.